CAAGAGCGUAUAUUAAAGUUGCUGCGGUUAAAAAGCUCGUAGUUGGAUUUCAGUCUAGGAAGGUUAACUCGCCGAAAGGUUGUACGUUGAUUUUCCUCAGACUUCGUCAGAAGCUCGUGCUGCACUUAACUGUGUGGUACGAUGUUCUGACCUUUUACCUUGAGGAAAGUAGAGUGUUUCAGGCAGGCUACCCAGCUUGAAUACAUUAGCAUGGAAUAAUGAAAUGGAUCUCGGUUCGAUUUCGUUGGUUCUAGAGCUGAGGUGAUGAUCAAUAGGAACAGGCGAAGGUAUUCGUACUUGAGAGUGAGGAGUGAAAUCCGAUGAUCUCUUAAAGACGAUCCGGGGCGAAAGCAUUUGUCAAGGAUGUUUUCAUUGA
Molecule: ribosomal RNA, 376 nt
Filed under: uncultured eukaryote
Lineage: Eukaryota
Description: partial 18S ribosomal RNA
Rfam family: Eukaryotic small subunit ribosomal RNA
Source: RNAcentral